AUCUCUGGUUCCUCAAGGCCCCGGGAAGCUGGGACAAAGGGCUCCUCUCCUCGCUCCAGGCAGGAGAUGAUGUCAGGCUUGUGAACGGGAAUCCCUGCUCAUGGGGAAAGUCCACAGCUGGAGAUGAUUCUCAAAGAAGAGAAUGAACUAUAAGGGAGAGCAGAUGCCCCAAAUUAUUCCUCCCUUUCUCUCUACCCAUGGCAUCCACAACAUCUGGAGAACAAAGGAAACAGCUUUGGACUGGAGGAGGGAUCCCGACGGGAAGAAAUGCAGCGAGUACGACUGCUGUAACCUGCUGAGAGAGACUGCUUUAAAUUCACUUGUUUAAUUAGGCAUUACACCGCUACCCCGAUAUAACGCGGUCCUCGGGAGACAAAAAAAUCUCACUGUGUUAUAGGUGAGACCGUGUUAUAUCAAAUUUGCUUUGCCCCCCCACCCCGUUCCUUGUUCCCUGACCACCCCCUCCAGAGACCCCCCCUCCCUAUUCACCCCCAGGACCUCACCCCCUACCCAAACCCCCUGUCCCCUGACUGCUCCGCCCCCAUCCACCCCCCGCCCCUGCUCCCUGACAGGCACUCACCGGCAGCGGUGGGAAGCAGAGCGGCGGAGCCCCAGUCUGCUCCACCCUGCCAGCUCCCAGCCACGAUGCUCCGCUUCCCGCCGUCGGUGAGUGCGGGGAGGUUGGGGAAAGGACGCCCCCUGCACUCACCUGCGGCGGGAAGAGGAGCGAGGUGGCCCUAGCCCGCUCCACUUUGCCAGCUCCCAGCCACGACGCUCCGCUUCCCGCCGUCGGUGAGUGCGGGGAGGUUGGGGAAAGGACGCCCCCCGCACUCACCGGCAGCGGGAAGCAGAGCGCUGCGGCUGGGAGCUGGCAGAGUGGAGCGGGCUGGGGCCGGGCUGCUCCACUUCCACCACUGCUGGCGAGUGCAGGAGGGAUCCCUUCCCCCAAGUUCCCUCCCCCGAGCGACAUGGCUGGGGUCGGGGACAGGGAAGCAGAGCGGGUUGCUCCCGGCCCCCUGCUAAUCCCCCGGGCCACUCUGGGACUGCGGAGUCCCCAAAAGUGCCCUCCCAAAGCUCCUGCUCCCCAGACCCUGGGCGGGGGGGGGGAGGAAAGCCCCUGACUGCCCCCAAGACCCUUUGCCCCUUAUGAAACCCCUUGGCCCCGGCCUGGUCCAGCACCCUUAACAGCGUGUCACAGCUUUACCGCGUUAUAUGCGAACUGGCGUUAUAUCGGGUCGUGUUAUAUCGGUGUAGUUGUGCUUUUCUUUUCUUUUCUUGUAACCAAUUCUGACUUUUAUGCCUCAUUACUUAUAUUCCCUGAAAAUCUUUUUGCAGUUAACAAACUUGUUUAUUGUUUUAUCUAAAACAGUGUGUUCCAACUGAGGUGUUUGGGAAACUCCAUGUGGGAUAGCAGGAUUUGUGCAUAUCAUUUUCUAUUAAUAAAAUGACGGGCUUUGUA
This is a long non-coding RNA of Malaclemys terrapin pileata, 1459 nucleotides long. RefSeq lists it as uncharacterized. The record is from RefSeq and is a predicted model, not a curated record. The transcript has 2 exons. Lineage: Eukaryota; Metazoa; Chordata; Testudines; Emydidae.